RNAcentral lists this ribosomal RNA (122 nucleotides) under Oryctolagus cuniculus (rabbit). The record is from RNAcentral. Lineage: Eukaryota; Metazoa; Chordata; Mammalia; Lagomorpha; Leporidae.
GUCCACGGCCAUACCACCCUGAACGCGCCCAGUCUCAUCUGACCUCGGAAGCUAAGCGGGGUCAGGCCUGGUUAGUACCUGGAUGAGAGGGGAUCUUGAGAAACACUGUUUAACCGAAGCAU